AGGACGAACGCUGGCGGCGUGCUUAACACAUGCAAGUCGAACGAUGAAAGAGAAUCCGAUCUCUUCGGAGUGAAGAAUCUCUGGAUUAGUGGCGGACGGGUGAGUAACGCGUGAGCAAUCUGCCUUACACAAAGGGAUAGCCUCGGGAAACCGGGAUUAAUACCAUAUGAUAUCUAUUAACCGCAUGGUUUAUAGAUUAAAGAAUUUCGGUGUAAGAUGAGCUCGCGUCCCAUUAAUUAGUUGGUGAGGGUAACGGCCCACCAAGAUAGCGAUGGGUAGCCGAUCUAAGAGGAUGACCGGCCACAUUGGAACUGAGAAACGGUCCAAACUCCUACGGGAGGCAGCAGUGGGGAAUAUUGCACAAUGGGGGAAACCCUGAUGCAGCGACGCCGCGUGAGCGAUGAAGGCUUUCGAGUCGUAAAGCUCUGUCCUAUGGGAAGAUAAUGACGGUACCAUAGAAGAAAGCCCCGGCUAAUUACGUGCCAGCAGCCGCGGU
This 496-nucleotide ribosomal RNA is filed under the name uncultured bacterium. RNAcentral's name for it is "bacterial SSU rRNA". It matches the Rfam family "Bacterial small subunit ribosomal RNA", at positions 26 to 521 of the family's 1533-position model. The record is from RNAcentral.